AUUCUUUUUCAAUUGUGUCAGCAGUUAUUCAAAUAAAUUCAUGAGCUGAUGCAGCGAAAUUUUUGUAAGUGAAAACUGAAAUUAACUUACUCUUUCAUCUUGGAUCUCAUCCCGAUCACUUAUCAGGUUAGCCAUUCUUGCUAAUUUUUUUCUCUUUUGUGGACUUACCUUCAUCA
Daphnia magna is the source of this 176-nucleotide long non-coding RNA. RefSeq lists it as uncharacterized. The record is from RefSeq and is a predicted model, not a curated record. The transcript is spliced from 3 exons. Lineage: Eukaryota; Metazoa; Arthropoda; Branchiopoda; Diplostraca; Daphniidae.